RNAcentral lists this ribosomal RNA (1355 nucleotides) under uncultured bacterium. Its description in RNAcentral is "bacterial SSU rRNA". It matches the Rfam family "Bacterial small subunit ribosomal RNA", at positions 28 to 1381 of the family's 1533-position model. The record is from RNAcentral.
AUUGAACGCUGGCGGCAGGCUUAACACAUGCAAGUCGAACGAUGACUCUCUAGCUUGCUAGAGAAGAUUAGUGGCGGACGGGUGAGUAGCAUUUAGGAAUCUGCCUAGUAGUGGGGGAUAGCUCGGGGAAACUCGAAUUAAUACCGCAUACGACCUACGGGUGAAAGGGGGCGCAAGCUCUUGCUAUUAGAUGAGCCUAAAUCAGAUUAGCUAGUUGGUGGGGUAAAGGCCUACCAAGGCGACGAUCUGUAACUGGUCUGAGAGGAUGAUCAGUCACACCGGAACUGAGACACGGUCCGGACUCCUACGGGAGGCAGCAGUGGGGAAUAUUGGACAAUGGGGGCAACCCUGAUCCAGCCAUGCCGCGUGUGUGAAGAAGGCCUUUUGGUUGUAAAGCACUUUAAGCAGGGAGGAGAGGCUAAUGGUUAAUACCCAUUAGAUUAGACGUUACCUGCAGAAUAAGCACCGGCUAACUCUGUGCCAGCAGCCGCGGUAAUACAGAGGGUGCGAGCGUUAAUCGGAAUUACUGGGCGUAAAGCGAGUGUAGGUGGCUCAUUAAGUCACAUGUGAAAUCCCCGGGCUUAACCUGGGAACUGCAUGUGAUACUGGUGGUGCUAGAAUAUGUGAGAGGGAAGUAGAAUUCCAGGUGUAGCGGUGAAAUGCGUAGAGAUCUGGAGGAAUACCGAUGGCGAAGGCAGCUUCCUGGCAUAAUAUUGACACUGAGAUUCGAAAGCGUGGGUAGCAAACAGGAUUAGAUACCCUGGUAGUCCACGCCGUAAACGAUGUCUACUAGCCGUUGGGGUCCUUGAGACUUUAGUGGCGCAGUUAACGCGAUAAGUAGACCGCCUGGGGAGUACGGCCGCAAGGUUAAAACUCAAAUGAAUUGACGGGGGCCCGCACAAGCGGUGGAGCAUGUGGUUUAAUUCGAUGCAACGCGAAGAACCUUACCUGGUCUUGACAUAGUGAGAAUCUCUCAGAGAUGAGAGAGUGCCUUCGGGAACUCACAUACAGGUGCUGCAUGGCUGUCGUCAGCUCGUGUCGUGAGAUGUUGGGUUAAGUCCCGCAACGAGCGCAACCCUUUUCCUUAUUUGCCAGCGGGUUAAGCCGGGAACUUUAAGGAUACUGCCAGUGACAAACUGGAGGAAGGCGGGGACGACGUCAAGUCAUCAUGGCCCUUACGACCAGGGCUACACACGUGCUACAAUGGUAGGUACAGAGGGUUGCUACACAGCGAUGUGAUGCUAAUCUCAAAAAGCCUAUCGUAGUCCGGAUUGGAGUCUGCAACUCGACUCCAUGAAGUCGGAAUCGCUAGUAAUCGCGGAUCAGAAUGCCGCGGUGAAUACGUUCCCGGGCCU